Molecule: ribosomal RNA, 251 nt
Filed under: uncultured bacterium
Lineage: Bacteria
Description: partial 16S ribosomal RNA
Rfam family: Bacterial small subunit ribosomal RNA
Source: RNAcentral
CGGGUGAGUAACGCGUAGGUAACCUGCCCCAUACAGAGGGAUAGCCACUGGAAACGGUGAUUAAUACCUCAUAAAACUGAGUAUACACAUGUAUGUUCAGCCAAAGAUUUAUCGGUAUGGGAUGGACCUGCGUCUGAUUAGCUGGUUGGUGAGGUAACGGCUCACCAAGGCGACGAUCAGUAGCCGACCUGAGAGGGUGAUCGGCCACAUUGGAACUGAGACACGGUCCAAACUCCUACGGGAGGCAGCAG